GAUAUUGCAAGCUUUGAAGCGAGGGGAACGUAAACAUCAACUCACCAAGAUGGACUUGAAGAGGUGAAAACUAGACAGAAUAUGGAACACAAGUGUGACAGUUGCAUGUACUCAACAAAUCAAAUGCCUAACCUACAGAGACAUUUUAAAACUCACUUAGCAAAAGAUACAAGUACUCCUGUCAAAGAAUUAACAUUGGUAUCUAAAAUGUGCGACCAGUGUGGAAAAUCGUGUAGAUCAAAGUUUGGACUGACAUUACAUGCAAAGAACAACCACACCUUUACUUAUAAGCACACCUGUAAUUUGUGUGGCGAGGGGUUUAAUCAACGGGUGCAAUACAGGUUCCUCUGCGAAAAUUGUCAGCAUGUCAUUAGAAAAAUGUUUAUUUUACAAGAAAGAAUUUACAGCACCUGGAUCUCUAAAAAGGCAUCAAUCAAAUAUGUGAACAACAACCAGAUGGAGUUCCAGAAGGCCAGUUCGUUUGUGAACUGUGUGGCAAGUUGAUGAAAAGUAGGCAAAACCUGUAUUACUACAAAAAAAGGCACGCAUCAACCCCCAAGCUACAAGUGUAAUGAAUGCGGCAAGCUAUUUAAAUGGGAGAUCGAGCCUUAAGGUUCACAAAAGAAGUGCACAUUCAUAAAGAUUUUUAUUUGGACUGCCUUUGAUUUAAGAGUACUAAUAAACGUUUGUAAUUUA
Gigantopelta aegis is the source of this 696-nucleotide long non-coding RNA. RefSeq lists it as uncharacterized. Lineage: Eukaryota; Metazoa; Mollusca; Gastropoda; Neomphalida; Peltospiridae. The transcript has 2 exons. The record is from RefSeq and is a predicted model, not a curated record.